This 1220-nucleotide unclassified non-coding RNA is filed under the name Hevea brasiliensis (rubber tree). The record is from RNAcentral. Lineage: Eukaryota; Viridiplantae; Streptophyta; Magnoliopsida; Malpighiales; Euphorbiaceae.
UUUUUUUUUUUUUUUUUUCUGAAGAGCAAAAAUUAAUUUUUGUUGUAAUGGACUUUUUCCUUUUCUCAUAUCCAGCAGAAUUCAUAUAUUCAUUAAGUAUUCUUUGUCCUUGUUGCAUUUACUUUUUUAGCAAAAUAAAAUUUUAGAAGUACUUUUGAAGGAGGCCUAGGUGAAAAACAAAACAUUCAAUAUGAUGCUACAUGGGAUCAAACCAUUAAAUUUGAUAAGGAAAGGUAUCUAUUGAAAGAGACAAAUUUCGUAUAUCUAUAGGUAUCAUGAGUCAUGCCUUCAUUGAUUGGUUUUAUGGUGGUCGCUUUUUCCUUAUAUUUUUCCCAACCCUGCUCUAUUGGUUCUUUAGAAUGCAAGUCUAGAGUGUUGAACCCAUGCCUCAGGCUAAGAUUUUCUUAGUUGUACCGACCAGCCUAUUUGUUGUUGUUUAUAACUACCUGAGAGGCUUAUCUAUCUAGUACUAUUUAGAGAUGCUUUCUGCAACUCUUUUUAGAUUGCACAGAUUUAAGGCUGAACACAAAGAAUGGAAUUGAAGACACUAGUAUAUGUGAAGCAGUUUUGUAAAUUGAUGGCCUUAGAUUUCUCAUCAAAGUAAACAGGGCAGUGCCUAGAGAAUGAGAAGUGGGAUGCAAUCAUGCAUAGAUUGGUGAAUUGCUUUAAGAGGGCUUUGUAGUCAAUGUUUUGAAUCGGAAAGGCUUUCACAUUUGUUUGCUACUUUCAUCAUUCAUAAUUGGAGGUCUUUUUUUUUUAAAUUGUUGCUUUUCCUUUAGUAGUAAUAUCUACAGUUCUCCCAACUUUCUUCACUUCUGGAUUUAAAACAAUGCUGAUUUGUUUUUGAGGGCCAGCAUCAGCUGCCAAAGACACACACACAUACACACACACAGACACACACUGAACCAGAUGGGGUGAAAUUGGUCAUUGGACUAGUUCCCAGUUUAGCUAGUUUGGUUUUCAAAACAAUGGUUUUUUUACCAUGUAGAGUUUGUUGAUGAAUUGCUUUCAUUUCCUUCUGUGUGGUAUAUGGAUUUGGCUGUCGGCUUUCUUGCUUUACUAUUUACAUGCAUAAUAUUGGCAUAUGAAGAAUUCUGAGUAGUUGUAGAUUUAAAUGUCUUUAAAGAACCAUGAUAUUGGCAUUUGAUGCAAGUCUGAAGUUUGAGUUAGACUAUUUAUCUGGAACACAUGCUUGCAGGGGUGAUUCACUUUGUUCAGGA